This 253-nucleotide ribosomal RNA is filed under the name uncultured bacterium. RNAcentral describes it as "partial 16S ribosomal RNA". It matches the Rfam family "Bacterial small subunit ribosomal RNA", at positions 524 to 776 of the family's 1533-position model. The record is from RNAcentral.
UACAGAGGGUGCAAGCGUUAAUCGGAUUUACUGGGCGUAAAGCGCGCGUAGGUGGCCAAUUAAGUCAAAUGUGAAAUCCCCGAGCUUAACUUGGGAAUUGCAUUCGAUACUGGUUGGCUAGAGUAUGGGAGAGGAUGGUAGAAUUCCAGGUGUAGCGGUGAAAUGCGUAGAGAUCUGGAGGAAUACCGAUGGCGAAGGCAGCCAUCUGGCCUAAUACUGACACUGAGGUGCAAAAGCAUGGGGAGCAAACAGG